CAAAAACAUGUCUUUUUGAUUUUAAUUUAAAGUCUAAUCUGCUCCAUGAUUUAUUUAUUAAAUAGCUGCGGUAUAUUGACUGUACAAAGGUAGCAUAAUCAAUAGUUUUUUAAUUGAAAGCUGGAAUGAAUGAUUUGAUGAAAUAAUUUUUGUUUCAAUGUUAUAAAAAUUAAAAAUUUUUUUUUAGUUAAAAUUCUAAAAUAUUUUUAAAAGACGAGAAGACCCUAUAGAUUUUAAUAUAUUAAUUAUGAAUGAUAAUAUAUGUAAUUAAUAUAUUUAAUUGGGGAAAUUAUUAAAUUUAUAAAAUUUUAUUUUAUUUUUUACAUAUUUAUUAAUGAAUAUUUGAUCCUUAUUUUUAGAUUGUAAGAAUAAAAUACCUUAGGGAUAACAGCAUAAUUUUUUUAGAUAGUUCAUAUUGAUAAAAAAGUUUGUGACCUCGAUGUUGAAUUAAGAUAAAAUUUUAAUGAAGAAAUUAAAAAUUUUUGGUCUGUUCGACCAUUAAAAUCUUACGUGAUCUGA
This 519-nucleotide ribosomal RNA is filed under the name Microleptes sp. BFS-2018. RNAcentral describes it as "partial 16S large subunit ribosomal RNA". The stretch from base 384 to 519 matches the Rfam family "Archaeal large subunit ribosomal RNA", at positions 2542 to 2677 of the family's 2987-position model. Lineage: Eukaryota; Metazoa; Arthropoda; Insecta; Hymenoptera; Ichneumonidae. The record is from RNAcentral.